CCUACGGGACGCAGCAGUCGGGAAUAUUGCGCAAUGGAGGAAACUCUGACGCAGUGACGCCGCGUAUAGGAAGAAGGUUUUCGGAUUGUAAACCUCUGUCUUUGGGGAAGAAAAUGACGGUACCCAAAGAGGAAGCUCCGGCUAACUACGUGCCAGCAGCCGCGGUAAUACGUAGGGAGCGAGCGUUGUCCGGAAUUACUGGGUGUAAAGGGAGCGUAGGCGGGCGAGAAAGUUGAAUGUUAAAUCUACCGGCUUAACUGGUAGCUGCGUUCAAAACUUCUUGUCUUGAGUGAAGUAGAGGCAGG
RNAcentral lists this ribosomal RNA (305 nucleotides) under uncultured bacterium. Its description in RNAcentral is "bacterial SSU rRNA". It matches the Rfam family "Bacterial small subunit ribosomal RNA", at positions 338 to 661 of the family's 1533-position model. The record is from RNAcentral.